RNAcentral lists this ribosomal RNA (315 nucleotides) under uncultured archaeon. RNAcentral describes it as "bacterial SSU rRNA". It matches the Rfam family "Archaeal small subunit ribosomal RNA", at positions 1029 to 1343 of the family's 1478-position model. The record is from RNAcentral.
UUUAGUCAGGCAACAAGCGAGACCUGUAUCCACCGUUGCUACUGUGCCCGUAAGGGUGAGCGAGCACACUGUGGAGACUGCCUUCGUAAGAAGGAGGAAGGUGCAGGCUACGGCAGGUCUGUACGACCCGAAUCUGCUGGGCUACACGCGCGCAACAAUGAUUGUGACAAUGGGAUGCAACGCUGAAAAGCGAAGCCAAGCCUCUAAACACAAUCCUAGUAUGAAUCGAGGGCUGCAACUCGCCCUCGUGACAUCGGAAUCCCUAGUAAUCAGACGUUAGCAUCGUCCGGUGAAUAUGUCCCUGCUCCUUGCACA